RNAcentral lists this unclassified non-coding RNA (226 nucleotides) under Hevea brasiliensis (rubber tree). The record is from RNAcentral. Lineage: Eukaryota; Viridiplantae; Streptophyta; Magnoliopsida; Malpighiales; Euphorbiaceae.
CUGUUAUAUGUUAGCGACCUUUUUUAUGUCCUUUUCUGUAAUGUGGUCCAUAUCUCUUUCCUUGAGGCAAAAACUACCUUACAUCUUGUUGGGUAAAUCUAUAUUGCUUGUAUAUGAAGUUUGGUGGAUAAAUUUCAAUAACUAUCCUUAAACUUCUAGAGUUGUCUCUGAAUUUAAAAUUAUAAUAUAAAACCCCUUGAAUUUUGAAAUUUUGUACAGUAAAAUU